RNAcentral lists this ribosomal RNA (320 nucleotides) under uncultured eukaryote. Its description in RNAcentral is "partial 18S ribosomal RNA". It matches the Rfam family "Eukaryotic small subunit ribosomal RNA", at positions 1470 to 1796 of the family's 1831-position model. The record is from RNAcentral.
CCCUUAGAUGUUCUGGGCCGCACACGCGCUACACUGAAGGAGGCAGCGUGUACUCCUGGAUCGAAAGAUUUGGGUAACCCGCGAAUCUCCUUCGUGCUAGGGAUUGAGGUUUGCAAUUAUCCUUCAUGAACGAGGAAUUCCCAGUAAGUGCAAGUCAUAAGCUUGCGCUGACUACGUCCCUGCCCUUUGUACACACCGCCCGUCGCUACUACCGAUUGAGUGAUCCGGUGAAUGGUUCGGACUCUGGCUAUGCUAGCUACUAGCUACGUCAGGGAAAGUUCUGUGAACCUUAUCACUUGGAGGAAGGAGAAGUCGUAACA